AGAGUUGAUCAUGGCUCAGGAUGAACGCUGGCGGCGUGCCUAACACAUGCAAGUCGAGCGAGAAACUCAUGACCAAUACUCGGUUGCGUGAUUGAGCGGAAAGCGGCGGACGGGUGAGUAACGCGUAGGCAACCUGCCCCUUGCAGAGGGAUAGCCUCGGGAAACCGGGACUAAAACCUCAUAAUGCCGAGAGUCGACAUCUUCUUUCGGCCAAAGAUUUAUCGGCAAGGGAUGGGCCUGCGUCUGAUUAGCUGGUUGGUGGGGUAACGGCCUACCAAGGCAACGAUCAGUAGCCGACCUGAGAGGGUGAUCGGCCACAUUGGAACUGAGACACGGUCCAAACUCCUACGGGAGGCAGCAGUGGGGAAUAUUGCACAAUGGGCGAAAGCCUGAUGCAGCAACGCCGCGUGAAGGAUGAAGGCCCUUGGGUCGUAAACUUCUGUUCUAAGGGAAGAUAAUGACGGUACCUUAGGAGCAAGUCCCGGCUAACUACGUGCCAGCAGCGGC
RNAcentral lists this ribosomal RNA (507 nucleotides) under uncultured bacterium. RNAcentral describes it as "bacterial SSU rRNA". It matches the Rfam family "Bacterial small subunit ribosomal RNA", at positions 8 to 518 of the family's 1533-position model. The record is from RNAcentral.